RNAcentral lists this ribosomal RNA (466 nucleotides) under Vreelandella stevensii. Its description in RNAcentral is "partial 16S ribosomal RNA". It matches the Rfam family "Bacterial small subunit ribosomal RNA", at positions 338 to 795 of the family's 1533-position model. The record is from RNAcentral. Lineage: Bacteria; Pseudomonadati; Pseudomonadota; Gammaproteobacteria; Oceanospirillales; Halomonadaceae.
CCUACGGGGGGGCAGCAGUGGGGAAUAUUGGACAAUGGGGGCAACCCUGAUCCAGCCAUGCCGCGUGUGUGAAGAAGGCCCUCGGGUUGUAAAGCACUUUCAGUGAGGAAGAACGCCUGGUGGUUAAUACCCAUCAGGAAAGACAUCACUCACAGAAGAAGCACCGGCUAACUCCGUGCCAGCAGCCGCGGUAAUACGGAGGGUGCGAGCGUUAAUCGGAAUUACUGGGCGUAAAGCGCGCGUAGGUGGCUUGAUAAGCCGGUUGUGAAAGCCCCGGGCUCAACCUGGGAACGGCAUCCGGAACUGUCAAGCUAGAGUGCAGGAGAGGAAGGUAGAAUUCCCGGUGUAGCGGUGAAAUGCGUAGAGAUCGGGAGGAAUACCAGUGGCGAAGGCGGCCUUCUGGACUGACACUGACACUGAGGUGCGAAAGCGUGGGUAGCAAACAGGAUUAGAUACCCCUGUAGUC